CAGCGCCACGAGUGGUAACCACGUUUAUUGGGCCUAAAGCGUCCGUAGCCGGUUUGAUAAAUCUUUUGUGAAAUUGUACAGCUUAACUGUACAGCGUGCAAGAGACACUGUCAAACUCGAGACCGGGAGGAGUCAGAAGUAUUCCAGAGGGAGCGGUAAAAUGUUAUAAUCUCUGGAGGACUACCUGUGGCGAAGGCGUCUGACCAGAACGGAUCUGACGGUGAGGGACGAAAGCUAGGGGAGCGAACCGGAUUAGAUACCCGAGUAGUCC
Molecule: ribosomal RNA, 271 nt
Filed under: uncultured archaeon
Lineage: Archaea
Description: partial 16S ribosomal RNA
Rfam family: Archaeal small subunit ribosomal RNA
Source: RNAcentral